GUUUGCUCCUACGAAGAUCUGGCGCCGAUGGCACCGAAAGAUCAACGUGAAUCAAAAGAGGUAUGCUGUUGUUUCUGCCAUUGCUGCUUCUGCAAUUCCUUCUUUGGUUUUGGCUCGUGGCCACCGGAUCGAGUCUGUUCCGGAAUUGCCGCUUGUGAUUAGCGAUUCCGCUGAGGGAAUCGAGAAAACAUCCUCCGCGAUUAAGGUUUUGAAGCAGAUCGGUGCUUUGCCUGAUGCUGAGAAAGCGAAGGACAGUCAUGCCAUCCGCCCUGGUAAGGGUAAGAUGAGGAAC
This 292-nucleotide unclassified non-coding RNA is filed under the name Hevea brasiliensis (rubber tree). The record is from RNAcentral. Lineage: Eukaryota; Viridiplantae; Streptophyta; Magnoliopsida; Malpighiales; Euphorbiaceae.